AUCAACAACAUAAAACAUCCUAUAUUAUUACAGCAUUCUCAUUCAUACAUUCUUUUACAUCUCAAUCCUCAUUUUUUUCCUCCAAAUACAAUCUUGGUUAUUACAUCACUUAGAUUACAAGUUUAAUACAUUUUGAUACAUUGUGUUCUUUUCAUUUUCUAUACCCCUAAGCUAUAUCGACGGAGUACCGCUAGCUCUGGUCUCUGGGGUAGGGCGCUAUCUACGGAGCUACGCCCUUUCCUCGCGCCACCGCGCCGCUCUCGUGCAAACCUGUAACACCCCAAAACAAUGUGGGGUGAGAACCAACUCUAUAGUUUUCAGUGGGUACGGCCACCCAAGGAAAAUGCUCGACCAACAGGUCCAAAGGGGCCUAGCGGAAGCCCGCCCGGCGCGUGCCCAGACCCGCCAUACGUCUAACACAUAUAAGGCGUCUAAAACAACGAUAAAUAAAGCAAUAAUAAAAGACAUCUAGGAGUAUCAGAGCAUGAUAUAAUACUAAGAUCUACAAUAGGGCAAGAAACAUAAAGCUGGAAUCCACUAAUAAAAGCAUAAAGCAAUACAAAGGAAAUCCCAAAUACAAGUGCUAAAAGUAGAUACAUACGUGGUCUCUAUACAUGGAUACAAAAUCUCUCACUCUCUCACAACUACAAAGAGAAAGAGUAAACCACCUAGGCAAAGAACCGCUCCUCGCUAGCUAGCUGUGCGAUCCCCUUGCCACGAUCCCGUGCCUCCGCCGGUGCAGAAGGCUGUGAAAGAAACCACGAUAAAGAGGGCGUGAGAACUAUUAAAAGAAUAGUUCCCAGUGGGCAAUUACUGACUUCAGUAAAUGCACCACAAGGCCCAAAGCUACAAGGCAAGAGGUUAGGGACUAACAAUGUAGUAAAGCGAAAGGUAAGCAAAAUGUAAUUUACUAUAACAUAGGGUCUCUACUUAGCAUGAUUUGCAUAAGUAAUAAAGAAACGAUAUCACGAAAGUACAUGGAUGUGUAUGACAUGCAUAAACAUAGAAAUGCGACCAAACCAAUGUCCUCAAUGCAAAAAUAGUAAAGGUGUCAUUGUUUACUAUUCUAGUCCAAGUCCACUUUAAUAGUGUUAAAGUUCACAUAGCAUGUUCUGUCACUAAGUCUCAAUCAUAUAAGACCCACCCGAGGGCUGUCUGGCCUGCGCCUUGCCUAAUGGCCCCGUGGUAGUCAACAUCCCCACUCUAGGGAUGAGCCUUCCCCACGGCAAUCCACUUCGGCGCCCAAUCCCGCACGGGCGAGCAUAUGUCGCGAUGGCUAUCUCCGGAGUGCCGGCUUGUAGGGAGCGACCCUUACAAGCAUGUGCGAAUGAGCACAAUGGCAAGCAAGCAAUGAUCUGUCUCAAGCACCAGGUCCUCAUGUCUAAAACAUGGAAUAUAUCAAGUAUCUCAAUGGCCAAUCUCUAUGUCAUCAUGUCUCUAACAUAGAAUAUAGUAAAUGUACAAUGGCCUAUCAUCAUGUCUCUAAGUUGUAUUUUCAUAGUUUACUAAUUCCAAGUGCCCCUUUAUGACACUUUUGUUCAGCGAGUUCCAAGCAUGGCAUUAAUAUGUUCAUGAUGCAUAAUUCACUCAAUUCUAGUAUGGAGACAUGUUCUCAACUUGCAACACAAAGCACUAUCCACAUUGCAUGCAAUCUACACUUAUAGCUCUACUAUAUGGAGUACAAAUUUUACGAUACAUGAGGCAUGUAUGUUAAGUGUUCUAAAAUUCACAUAAAUCAUGUUUAGCAUGAAUUUGCAUUCAAAAAUACUUUACGAAAAGUUUAGGAGGCAUAGGGGUCAUUUUGCCCCAUUUUCAUGAAGUCAAACCCACCAAUGGUAGACGAAGCCCUUCGUUUGCUCCGACAAAGGUGUCCUCUAGCCUCCUAGCACCCUAGAGGUAUGAAAACAAGUGUCACCUAACCGAAACGAACGCCGCUAAGCUCAAUCAUUAAGCUUCUAUAGCUAGGUUGGAGAAAACUCACCGAAAGCUAAAGAAUCUCUCUCGAUCUCCAAACGGGAGUUAGAAUCCUUCAAAUCCAACCUAAAUCAAAGUUCUAAACCAAUCAAUUUGGUUCCAAAGCCCUCAAAUCAAAAAUCCCCAUUUUUUAACCCUAAUAUGCCAAAUCUAGCGUUUGAUCUAGUAGAAGCUACCAAAACUUAAUCCAAAGAAAAGAUUAGGCUUACCAACCUCACAAGAAGCUCAAAACCAAAUCCCAAACCAAGUGGAGUUGAAGAUCUCCUCUCAAACAAGCUCCUCUACAAGCUCCAAGCCUUCAACAAUGGAGGAAACCCAACAAAAAGCAAGGUGGAGAAGAGAGGAGAGGUCAAAACCAACCAAAAUCCAUCAAAAAUGGAGAAGAAAUCAAAGGGAACUCCUCUUACCUUGCUCUCCACUAUUCUAGGGCUCAAAACAGCCCCCAAGGGGCUGGGGUGUGCUUAAAUAGAAGUUACAACAAUUGCAAAAACACCCCUCCACGAAACAGCCAAAAUGUGUACUGCGUACCGGUACACGGGUUUGUGUACCGGUACACAACCCACGAAACGCCAAACCCGAGCCUCGGGUUUGCUGGGAAAUGGCCUGUGUACCGGUACACAACCCGAUACCGGUACAGCCAUCAACCCCGUACCGGUACAGCAAG
Molecule: long non-coding RNA, 2638 nt
Filed under: Ananas comosus (pineapple)
Lineage: Eukaryota; Viridiplantae; Streptophyta; Magnoliopsida; Poales; Bromeliaceae
Description: long non-coding RNA (ACOM_LNC003631)
Source: RNAcentral